Molecule: long non-coding RNA, 1143 nt
Organism: Lucilia sericata (common green bottle fly)
Lineage: Eukaryota; Metazoa; Arthropoda; Insecta; Diptera; Calliphoridae
Exons: 4
Source: RefSeq, a predicted model, not a curated record
AAUUAAAAUAUUUUUGCAUAAAAAUGUAAAUAAAGAUGUGCUUAAUGUUGUUUCAUAAAAAUAUUAUUGGAAAAUAUGAAAUUUAUAGCAAAAAAAGUGUUUUAAAAUUUGCCAAAAAAUACGAAGGCAAAUAAGUUUUGGCCGAGUUUGUGUUUGUUCUUUUUUAUGUAAAAUAGAAAAAAAAAAAAUAAAUAAAAAUAUUUUUGCAUAAAAAUGUAAAUAAGGAUAUGCUUAAUGUUAUUUCAUAAAUAUAUUAUUGGAAAAUAUGAAAUUUAUAACAAAAAAAAAUAUUUUAAAAUUUGCUAAAAAAAUACGAAGGCAAUUGUUGGCCGAGUUUGUGUGUUUGUAAAAUAGAAAAGAAGGAGUAGAGAGGGAGGUGAAAUUUAGAGAGAUGCUAUUUUGUUGUUGUUCUUGAAUACCUAUGUAUGUAGUAAGUGUUUUUUGUUUUUGUUUAUGAAUAAAAAAACUGCAGUACCUAUAAGUAAAUGGCGCACUUUUCUCUUUGACUUCACACCAAUUGUUUGACAGUUUCUUUAGUUCGAGCUUAUAUUGAAAAUUUUUCGGGUGUUUAGAGAGAUUCGCAGUGAUAUUAAUAAUAGUUUUAUAUAGAAAAAAUGCAUAAAAUUAAAAUAUUUUUGCAUAAAAAUGUAAAUAAAGAUGUGCUUAAUGUUAUUUCAUAAAAAUAUUAUUGGAAAAUAUAAAAUUUAUAACAAAAAAAGUGUUUUAAAAUUUGCAAAAAAGAAAAAUACGAAGGCAAUUGUUGGCCGAGAUUGUAUGUUUGUUUGAGGGAGAAGAAAUUUAGUGAGAUGCUGUUUUGUUGUUGCUAUUGCAAAGGUGCAUUCAUGUUUUUUCUUUUAUAACUAUGCUGGGAAGAAGUGGAAAAGAUUUUCCGUAACAACACAGAAUAAAGGAUGACAAGGCCGAUGAAAUGGUUUGCCUCAAGUUUUUGCAAACUUUGUGUGAUCAUUAACCAAAAUCAGCACUAAACAAAAGUCAUCAGUUAAAUCAGCAGAUUAUUACUUUUGAAGCUUAAAAAAGGAUAAUAUUUGUUCAGCAAGACUUGAACUAAGAAUAAUUCACGUGGAAAUUUAUAAAUUUUAAUUAAAAAAUAUAAAAUUAAAUAACAUAAAUAACAUUUAAAAA